RNAcentral lists this unclassified non-coding RNA (142 nucleotides) under Oidiodendron sp. RNAcentral's name for it is "partial internal transcribed spacer 2". The record is from RNAcentral. RNAcentral also lists the same sequence under 1 other name. Lineage: Eukaryota; Fungi; Ascomycota; Leotiomycetes; Myxotrichaceae.
CAACCCUCAAGCCUAGCUUGGUGUUGGGCCCUGCCCGUUGCGGCCGGCCCUAAAGUCAGUGGCGGCGCCGUCUGGCUCUAAGCGUAGUACAUCUCUCGCUCUAGGGUCCUACGGUGGCUUGCCAGAACCCCCCAACUCCUAU